This 1018-nucleotide long non-coding RNA is filed under the name Astyanax mexicanus (Mexican tetra). RNAcentral's name for it is "lncRNA (ENSAMXG00005003534.1)". The record is from RNAcentral. Lineage: Eukaryota; Metazoa; Chordata; Actinopteri; Characiformes; Acestrorhamphidae.
UUCUAAACAGGCCUGGAGAAGUGCUGCUCAAGUUUGUGACUCGGUUUAAAAGCUGCAGAAGUUUUAAUCGACGCUGAUUCAGUGAAAUCCUGAUGUAAUCUGAUGUAAACAGCUCUAAAACACACGUCUCCACUUCCUCUUCCUCACCGCUGCAGCCCGGAGCUCAGCGCUGCUCAGCGACGCCCCUACCGAGGCGGAAGCCGCCAGUAGAGCGCAGGGCGCGUCCCAAACGGCAGGCUGCUCACUAUGUAGUGCACUAUGAAGGGCCCAAUUGCAUUUCACCACUUAGCCUUGGAUCUCUGUUUUGCGCGUGCGCUUCUAGGGAUAGGGGUCCUGAUUCUUGUUAAGUUCGAGGUGUAGGGUAAAGCGUUAAAGCUUCAUGGCUCUUCCAACAGAGAAUUUUCAGAGAAACACUGAAAACAGGGGACUGAGAAUCACUGGCACGAUGGCGGCACAACAAGCGCCCAAAUUAAGCCACAAAUGUAAAUAUUUUUCUUGUUAAAUGUGACGAUAACCGCUAUAAUACAACAAUUUAAUGUGUAUUUUCAGUGUUUUAUGGUAAUUUUCUACAUAACAAGCUUAAACUAAAAUUCUGGUAGUUUAUCUCAGUAGCUAGCUAGCUAUUUUUUCCUUUUUUUUAUAAUUUUUUAUCAUUUUGUAAAAGAAAAUAUUCAGAAAUUCGAGUCGAUCAGGAAAAGCACCAUGUCUACGUCAACACGUGAAUUAGUAUUCAUGGCCUCGCCCACCUUGCCUCGUGACCGCCCACAGGCAGCGCUGAAACCACUCAGCCAGGGAAGGCAACUGUGGAGUUCCUCUGGACCUGUUCCUCCACAUCUCUCUUGUUCCAUCUGUGUGCAUCAUAGCGAUACUGUCAUUCGUUCAACACAGAGAGAAGACACAGCCCUUUGAGGAACGGUUCCCCUACCUCAGAGGGCGAUUCGGAUUUGUUGUGUGAGUCACACACACACACACACAUUGCAUGCGUACCAGUGACUCAGUAUACACUGGCCUUUAGAGU